GACGAACGCUAGCGGCGUGCUUAACACAUGCAAGUCGAACGGAAAGGCCCUGCUUUUGUGGGGUGCUCGAGUGGCAAACGGGUGUGUAACGCGUGUGUACCCUGCCCUUCACUUUGGGAUAACUUCAGGAAACUGGGGCUAAUACCAGAUAGGAGCUCCGGCUGCAUGGUGGUGGUUGGAAAGUUUCGGGUGUUGGGUGUGGACUCGCGGCUUAUCAUCUUGGUGGUGGGGUAGUGGCUUACAAAGGCUUUGACGGGUAGCCGGGCUGAGGGGGUGACCGGCAACAGUGGGACUGAGAGACGGCCCAGACUCCGAGGGGAGGCAGCAGGGGGGAAUGUUGCACAAGGGGAGGAAGCCUGAUGCAGCAACGCGGCGUGCGGGAUGACGGCCUUCGUGUUGUAAACCGCUUGCGCCUGUGACGAAGCGUGAGUGACGGUAAUGGGUAAAGAAGCACCGGCUAACUACGUG
RNAcentral lists this ribosomal RNA (468 nucleotides) under uncultured bacterium. RNAcentral describes it as "partial 16S ribosomal RNA". It matches the Rfam family "Bacterial small subunit ribosomal RNA", at positions 28 to 507 of the family's 1533-position model. The record is from RNAcentral.